UACGUAGGGUGCAAGCGUUGUCCGGAAUUAUUGGGCGUAAAGAGCUCGUAGGCGGUUUGUCGCGUCUGCUGUGAAAACGCGAGGCUCAACCUCGCGCCUGCAGUGGGUACGGGCAGACUAGAGUGCGGUAGGGGAGACUGGAAUUCCUGGUGUAGCGGUGAAAUGCGCAGAUAUCAGGAGGAACACCGGUGGCGAAGGCGACACGCUGGGCCGUACCUGACACUGAUGCGCGACAGCAUGGGGAGCAAACAGG
This 253-nucleotide ribosomal RNA is filed under the name uncultured bacterium. Its description in RNAcentral is "partial 16S ribosomal RNA". It matches the Rfam family "Bacterial small subunit ribosomal RNA", at positions 524 to 776 of the family's 1533-position model. The record is from RNAcentral.